GUCUUCUUCAGUAGCACAUCUAUUAAAAUAAAACAAUACAGAAUAAAUCAGCAUGGCCCCGACACAGGAUGACACAAAAAUCUGAGAAGUGUUCCAUAUUUCA
Small nuclear RNA from Nannospalax galili (Upper Galilee mountains blind mole rat), 103 nucleotides. The record is from Ensembl. Lineage: Eukaryota; Metazoa; Chordata; Mammalia; Rodentia; Spalacidae.